UUGAACGCUGGCGGCAUGCCUUACACAUGCACGUCGAACGGCAGCACGGGUGCUUGCACCUGGUGGCGAGUGGCGAACGGGUGAGUAAUACAUCGGAACAUGUCCUGUAGUGGGGGAUAGCCCGGCGAAAGCCGGAUUAAUACCGCAUACGAUCUACGGAUGAAAGCGGGGGACCUUCGGGCCUCGCGCUAUAGGGUUGGCCGAUGGCUGAUUAGCUAGUUGGUGGGGUAAAGGCCUACCAAGGCGACGAUCAGUAGCUGGUCUGAGAGGACGACCAGCCACACUGGGACUGAGACACGGCCCAGACUCCUACGGGAGGCAGCAGUGGGGAAUUUUGGACAAUGGGCGAAAGCCUGAUCCAGCAAUGCCGCGUGUGUGAAGAAGGCCUUCGGGUUGUAAAGCACUUUUGUCCGGAAAGAAAUCCUUGGCCCUAAUACGGUCGGGGGAUGACGGUACCGGAAGAAUAAGCACCGGCUAACUACGU
This 484-nucleotide ribosomal RNA is filed under the name uncultured bacterium. RNAcentral's name for it is "partial 16S ribosomal RNA". It matches the Rfam family "Bacterial small subunit ribosomal RNA", at positions 30 to 506 of the family's 1533-position model. The record is from RNAcentral.